This 532-nucleotide long non-coding RNA is filed under the name Phoenix dactylifera (date palm). RNAcentral describes it as "long non-coding RNA (PDAC_LNC020875)". Lineage: Eukaryota; Viridiplantae; Streptophyta; Magnoliopsida; Arecales; Arecaceae. The record is from RNAcentral.
UCCACAAUCUCCCCCUUUUUCGUAUGAUGACAAAACUUUGAGUAUAUGUAAAAUGAGUUGCUCAGUAAAUAAUGAAAUAAACUCCAUAAAUGAAUUCAAAUGUCUGAUAAUUUAAUUUAUCCAAGUUUGAAAGGAGUGAAACAUUAAAUUUCGGAGUUAAAGUUCCCCCUUUCAUUUGGAAUUAUAUAAGUCUUCAUAUUCUGCAAUCAAUUGUUUGGCUUAUAUGACAUUAAUGUUUUAGCUUGAUUAAAAUUCAGAUUCUUCCCCUCAACAUAUGCAUUCAACUAUGUUUUGAUUUUCUGAAUUUUCUUUUAAUGCUUUGAAAUUUUUGAACUAAAAUUUUUGUUUUUAGAGGAAAAAUCUGUCAAUUUGUUCUUGAGUAGGAUUCAGCUAAUCUCCGAAUAUCCCUUGAAUAGAUUCUGGAGAUUACUCCAUUAGGAGUCCCAAAAGAGAGAUAAUGAGCCUCGAGGUACCGAAUCCACUUAGAACAAAUUUAUGUGUGUUUUUAAGAGUUUUAUCGUUUUAUUUAUUU